AGUAAGACAUGGGGUGACCUGGCCUAAAGUGAGGGAUACCGGCGAGAAAUUGCCGACAAGCCCGCAUGGGUUCUGCCUGGUAGAGCGGGUGGAGCAAAGUCGCAAGACGCUUUAGGAUGGGCCUGUGGCCGAUUAGCUAGUUGGGGGGGUAAGAGCCUCCCAAGGCGACGAUCGGUAGCUGGUCUGAGAGGACGAUCAGCCACACUGGGAUUGAGAACGGCCCAG
Molecule: ribosomal RNA, 225 nt
Filed under: uncultured bacterium
Lineage: Bacteria
Description: partial 16S ribosomal RNA
Rfam family: Bacterial small subunit ribosomal RNA
Source: RNAcentral